This 253-nucleotide ribosomal RNA is filed under the name uncultured bacterium. Its description in RNAcentral is "partial 16S ribosomal RNA". It matches the Rfam family "Bacterial small subunit ribosomal RNA", at positions 524 to 776 of the family's 1533-position model. The record is from RNAcentral.
GACAGAGGCCUCAAGCGUUAUGCGGAAUCACUGGGCUUAAAGCGUGUGUAGGCGGAUCGUUAAGUGUCUUGUGAAAUCCCACGGCUCACCCGUGGAACGGCUGGGCAUACUGGCGAUCUUGGGCCAACUAGGGGCAACUGGAACAAGCGGUGGAGCGGUGAAAUGCGUAGAUAUCGCUUGGAACGCCGAAGGUGAAAACAGGUUGCUGGGGUUGUGCCGACGCUGAGACACGAAAGCCAGGGGAGCAAACGGG